Molecule: transfer RNA, 73 nt
Filed under: Cronartium ribicola 11-2
Lineage: Eukaryota; Fungi; Basidiomycota; Pucciniomycetes; Pucciniales; Coleosporiaceae
Description: tRNA-Val (GAC) (tRNA-Val-GAC-52-1)
Rfam family: tRNA
About the family: Transfer RNA (tRNA) molecules are approximately 80 nucleotides in length. Their secondary structure includes four short double-helical elements and three loops (D, anti-codon, and T loops).
Source: RNAcentral
GACUGGAUAGCCCAGCAGUAAAGGCAUCAUAUUGACAAUGCUGAGGUCCCAGGUUCAAGUCCUGGUCUAGUCA